RNAcentral lists this ribosomal RNA (52 nucleotides) under Curvularia lunata. RNAcentral describes it as "partial 28S ribosomal RNA". The record is from RNAcentral. RNAcentral also lists the same sequence under 12 other names. Lineage: Eukaryota; Fungi; Ascomycota; Dothideomycetes; Pleosporales; Pleosporaceae.
GUUUGACCUCGGAUCAGGUAGGGAUACCCGCUGAACUUAAGCAUAUCAAUAA